Molecule: long non-coding RNA, 927 nt
Filed under: Salmo salar (Atlantic salmon)
Lineage: Eukaryota; Metazoa; Chordata; Actinopteri; Salmoniformes; Salmonidae
Description: lncRNA (ENSSSAG00000102912.1)
Source: RNAcentral
CUUUACUUUAAAAAAUAAAUAAUACUACUGAUAUUGAUUACUGCACUGUUGGGAAAAACCCUGCAAGGCAUUUCACUGUACUUGUGCAUGUGACAAUAUAAACUUGAUUAGAAAAGGGUAGAGGAGGAGAAGAUGAGGAGGUAGAGAAGAUGAGGAGGAAUAGAGAGAAGCUGAGGAGGUGGAAUAAAGAAGAUGAAGAGAAAUAGAGAGAAGAUGAGGAUUAGAGUGAAGAUGAUGAGGAGGUGGAGAGGAGGAAAAGAGAGAAGAUGAGGAGGAAUAGAGAGAAGAUGAGGUGGAGAGGAGGAAUAGAGAAGAUGAGGUGGAGAGUAGAAAUAGAGAGAAGAUGAGAAGGUAGAGAGGACAAAUAGAGAGAAGGUGAGGAGGAAUAGAGAAGGAAUAGAGAAGGAGGGUUAGAGAGAAGAUGAGGAGAGAAGGAAUGGAGAGAGGAUGAGGAGGAAUAGAGAAGAUGAGGGGGAGAGGAGGAAUGGAGAAGAUGAGGAAUAGAGAGAAGGUUGAGGAAUAGAGAAGAUGAGGAGGAAAGAGAAGAUGAGGAGGAAUAGAGAGAAGGUGAGGAGGAAUAGAGAGAAGAUGAGGAGGGGGAGAAGAGGGAGAAGAGGAAUAGAUAUAGGUUCAGGAAGUGGAGAGUAGGAAUAGAGAAUAUGAGGAGGGAUAGAGAGAAGAUGAGGUGGAGCGUAGGAAUAGAGAGAAGAUGAGGAAGUGGAAUAGCGACGAUGAUGAGAUGGAGGAUUAGAGAAGAUGAGGGGGAACAGAGAGAUGAUGAGGUGAGACGAGGAAUAGAGAGAAGAUGAGGAGGGAUGUGCGAGGUAGUAAUGCAUCAUCAUCAUGACUUACAUUUUAGUCAUUUAGCAGACGCUCUUAUCCAGAGCGACUUACAGUAGUGAAUGCAUACAUUUCAUAAAAAAAUUU